UGAGCAACCUGCCCUUGACUCUGGAAUAACAGUUGGAAACGGCUGCUAAUACCGGAUACGACCUCCGACGGCAUCAUCUGGAGGUGGAAAGCUCCGACGGUCAAGGAUGGGCUCGCGGCCUACCAGCUUGUUGGUGAGGUAACGGCUCACCAAGGCUUCGACGGGUAGCCGGCCUGAGAGGGCGACCGGCCACACUGGGACUGAGAUACGGCCCAGACUCCUACGGGAGGCAGCAGG
Molecule: ribosomal RNA, 237 nt
Filed under: uncultured bacterium
Lineage: Bacteria
Description: partial 16S ribosomal RNA
Rfam family: Bacterial small subunit ribosomal RNA
Source: RNAcentral